GGCGUAAUACCGGAUAAUACAUGAAACCGCAUGGUUUCAUGAUGAAAGACGGUUUUGCUGUCACUUAUAGAUGGACCCGCGGCGUAUUAGCUAGUUGGUAAGGUAACGGCUUACCAAGGCAACGAUACGUAGCCGACCUGAGAGGGUGAUCGGCCACACUGGAACUGAGACACGGUCCAG
Molecule: ribosomal RNA, 180 nt
Filed under: uncultured Staphylococcus sp.
Lineage: Bacteria; Bacillati; Bacillota; Bacilli; Caryophanales; Staphylococcaceae
Description: partial 16S ribosomal RNA
Rfam family: Bacterial small subunit ribosomal RNA
Source: RNAcentral